RNAcentral lists this small nuclear RNA (118 nucleotides) under Pogona vitticeps (central bearded dragon). RNAcentral's name for it is "U5 spliceosomal RNA (ENSPVIG00000023303.1)". It matches the Rfam family "U5 spliceosomal RNA". Rfam says of the family: U5 RNA is a component of both types of known spliceosome. The precise function of this molecule is unknown, though it is known that the 5' loop is required for splice site selection and p220 binding, and that both the 3' stem-loop and the Sm site are important for Sm protein binding and cap methylation. The record is from RNAcentral. Lineage: Eukaryota; Metazoa; Chordata; Lepidosauria; Squamata; Agamidae.
AUACUCUGGUUUCUCUUCAGAUUGUAUAAAUCUCUUGCCUUUUACUGAAGAUUUCCUCGAAGAGGAGCAGUUAUGAGCCUGGCCACUUUGAUUUGUUGCUAAAUAUUUUAAAAUAUUU